UCUCCAGACUCCUACGGGAGGCAGCAGUGGGGAAUAUUGCACAAUGGGGGAAACCCUGAUGCAGCGACGCCGCGUGAGUGAAGAAGUAAUUCGUUAUGUAAAUCUCUAUCAGCAGGGAAGAAAAUGACGGUACCUGAGUAAGAAGCCCCGGCUAACUACGUGCCAGCAGCCGCGGUAAUACGUAGGGGGCAAGCGUUAUCCGGAUUUACUGGGUGUAAAGGGAGCGUAGACGGCAGUGCAAGUCUGGAGUGAAAGGCGGGGGCUCAACCCCCGGACUGCUCUGGAAACUGUACGGCUGGAGUGCAGGAGAGGUAAGUGGAAUUCCUAGUGUAGCGGUGAAAUGCGUAGAUAUCAGGAGGAACACCGGCGGCGAAGGCGGCCUGCUGGACCGCGACUGACGUUGAGGCUCGAAAGCGUGGGGAGCGAACAGGAUUAGAUACCCCCGUAGU
This 449-nucleotide ribosomal RNA is filed under the name uncultured bacterium. RNAcentral describes it as "bacterial SSU rRNA". It matches the Rfam family "Bacterial small subunit ribosomal RNA", at positions 328 to 794 of the family's 1533-position model. The record is from RNAcentral.